RNAcentral lists this ribosomal RNA (498 nucleotides) under uncultured bacterium. RNAcentral describes it as "partial 16S ribosomal RNA". It matches the Rfam family "Bacterial small subunit ribosomal RNA", at positions 30 to 523 of the family's 1533-position model. The record is from RNAcentral.
AUUGAACGCUGGCGGCAUGCCUUACACAUGCAAGUCGAACGGUAACAGGUCUUCGGAUGCUGACGAGUGGCGAACGGGUGAGUAAUACAUCGGAACGUGCCUAGUAGUGGGGGAUAACUACUCGAAAGAGUGGCUAAUACCGCAUGAGAUCUACGGAUGAAAGCAGGGGAUCGCAAGACCUUGUGCUACUAGAGCGGCCGAUGGCAGAUUAGGUAGUUGGUGGGAUAAAAGCUUACCAAGCCGACGAUCUGUAGCUGGUCUGAGAGGACGAUCAGCCACACUGGGACGGAGACACGGCCCAGACUCCUACGGGAGGCAGCAGUGGGGAAUUUUGGACAAUGGGCGAAAGCAGGAUCCAGCAAUGCCGCGUGCAGGAUGAAGGCCUUCGGGUUGUAAACUGCUUUUGUACGGAACGAAAAGCCCCGGGUUAAUACCCUGGGGUCAUGACGGUACCGUAAGAAUAAGCACCGGCUAACUACGUGCCAGCCGCCGCCGUAA